This is a long non-coding RNA of Alligator mississippiensis (American alligator), 17676 nucleotides long. RefSeq lists it as uncharacterized. The transcript has 8 exons. Lineage: Eukaryota; Metazoa; Chordata; Crocodylia; Alligatoridae. The record is from RefSeq and is a predicted model, not a curated record.
CCUAAUAACUCUGUGAACCGUAUGAAAGAAGCAAUAUAUUGACAAUGGAUUCAAGGUGACAAUAGACAACCUUUGCUCAACUCCUAGCCACAUGGGUAUAUAGUAAAUAUUAGUCAUCUAGUGCACACACAAAACACUGAAGUUUCAUGGGAGUGCUACCAAAAUAUCUUGUUGUCCAAAGUCCACUGAAGACUCCAUAACAUUUCAUGAUAAAUAGCCAAUCAGUAGCUUCAUUGUUAGGAGGUGCUAUGACACCAUCAAAGAAAGGGCUUUUGCCAUCUAGGCCUACACUUCAUUUCUUCUUUCCCACUCUACAGAGAUAUUCUCCACUUUUUUUUUCUUUUUUGGAAUUGCCAUAUUUGCCUACCGAAUUCUCCCAAAUAUGGUAUUCACUAGGCAUACACCUUCUUAAUCAUUUCAUCAUCAGUCUUCUAAUGGUAUUCUGCAUUCUUUCAGCACAAAGCUUUAAGGUCUUUUACAAAUUAUCAGUAGAAGUAAACAGAACCUGGGGAUAGAGAGCCCAAUAUUAUUCAGUUUAAUCCAAACAAACUAUUGAAACAAUGACUACUCCCCUUUUUUUCUUUUGUCUUUUUUCAAACCUCUGUGAGAUGUUUAAAUGUUUGAUUCACAAUUAUGCUUGCAAAAGUCUCUGUUUUUGUUCCAAAUUUUGCAUAGGGAAUUUGUGUGACUUUAGAGCAGUUGUUAUUGUGCCUUUAGUUAGGUGUAAGAGCAGACUAAGGAGCUUUUAGGUGCUGUAUAUUUUAAAUAUGUUGCUGGUAUUAUCUUGCAAGAAAUAGCUCCCAGGUUUGGGACAUACAAGUCUAACAUGUUAACUGAUAGCUGCACCUAACUAAAUUGAAGGAGUGGGGGGUUCUCCAGAAAAGCUCAGGGUCUGCUGUGGUAACAGGGGGCAUUUAUAUAUGUGUUCUGGGAGUGGGAGGGAGGCGCUUUAAUUAGAGUAGCCCCAAGAGCUGCUCUAAUUAAAGUGCCUGGAGUGUCUUGUGUAUCAGCAUCCUUGUGCUGAAAAAUGGGAGCAGGGAUGCUUUAAAUAAAGCUUGUUGCACAAUAGGAGGCAUUGUUUCACAAUAGGAGCUCUGUUUAAAACAUUUCCACCGCCAUUUUUCAGCUUGGAGACACUGAUACACAAGAUGCUGGAGUCUGCUGGAGUAUGAUAAUUCAUGUAUAGGUGCCUGGAGAAUUUAAUGUGCAUUAACUAAAGUGUGUUAAUGCACAUGUAGAUACUAGGAUUCCCAGAGGGAAGGGAGCCUGCUAGGCUUUGUGAUUGAUGGGAGAAGGAGCCAGAGUUAUACUGGGAUUUAUGGGAGGAGGAGCCAGAGAUAAAGUUUCAUUUGUAUCUGUGCCUAUGGAGCUAUAAAAAAAGGACUUGGGCAUGUAGAAAGAACAAGUCCAGGUACUCUGAUACAUACAAGCCUGAGCUGAGUUUUGACACUCUUCCAUCUAAUGCCUUUGAGGAGUAAAUAUUUUGAGAACAAAUCCAAGUUGAAAUCUGAGAAAUCACACAUCCAAAAUCCUUUGUCAAAGCUAAUAUUUCCAUAAAUUACUUAGACUUCAUAUACAUCUUGGAACUAAGUUGAUCUAUAUUGACACAAUGAUUACAAAUUCUUGAAUGCAACUGUAGGAAACACUAUUAACAGUUGGAAGAAAGCAGAAUGCCUCAAUACUGUAAGCUAGAUCCUCAGCUGGUAUAAAAUGACAUAGUCCUGCUGACUUCAGUGGAGCUCUGCUGAUUUAAACCAGCUGAGGAGCUUCCUUACAGGAUGACCAACUAGGAUAAUUGUGUGUAGCAUUUUUGUACCUGGUUUCUUAUCCAGAUUUUUCUUUUUAAUUAAAAUAUAAGCCAUAACUGCAUAAAUCCAUGACUUUAAUGGCAAUCUGGCCAGAAUAAUGGUCCAGUUCAUGCAAAUCUGCAAGUGAGUAAUUUUAUGCCUAUGAAUAGUCCUAUGUAGUGCAUGCAAGUGCUUGUUUGCAGACUCAGGUUCAACAGUAAAGAAUUCAAGAGUGAGCAUUUUAGAAUAAUUCACUAGGGCUUUGUAUUUUUUGGUUAUUGGUAUUGUGGAAGUGCCUACGGUUCCCAGUCAUGGACCAGCACUCCAGUGUGCUAGGCACUGUACAAAUACAGAAUUUUUUUUUAAAAGGUCCCUGCCCCAAGAGCUCAGCACCUAAGCAGCACUGUUUUCCUUUUAAUUGAUAAUUGUUCUUUCGAAAAAAGCAUGCAGCAAUUUAGAUUCAGUUUCCUUGUAAGAUAGUUGAUGGAUUUUUCCCAGCAAGAUCUCCUGUGCUUCUUUCUGUUAAAAAUGUCUAGUAACUAUUAAUUCUUAUAAAAGGGAGGAGAGUUGUUGUUUUAUUUCCAAAUCAGAACAGAUGUAGAAUAGGGAUUUUGAAGAGCAUGUAAGAGACUUGCAAGCAGAAGUCUUGUUGAAAGAUGUUAACCCCCUCCUAUUAUUAUCAGGCUAACCAGAAGCCACAGAGUAAAAAUCUCUUUUGUACAAGGUGACUUUCCACCAUGGGAGUCUUCAACACUAAGCCAAUGCCCUGCCAAGAAGUCACAGAUGUUCUUCACAUGAACAGGUGACUGUGGUUGUGAGGAGUGUGAUGACAGUUCUAUCUAUGCCUACAGUGCCUGUGUCUAUGUCGAGGUGCACUUGUCCACCUGCUCAGGCACAAAUGUAACUCAGCAAUAUAGGAAUACUGAACCAUGACGUGCAUUUAAAAGGGUAUGUAUUACAAAGGAACUGUUACCAACAAGACAAUGACAGGAGGUAAGAGGAAAUUUAAGCAGUCAGCAGUCUAACCAGGCAAGCUAAUGGCAGUUCAUUGUGCUGCCACACAGGUGUUAGAGCUCAGUUUUUUCCUUGCAAGUCCAGCAAGGAUUGGUCCCUGGAGGAGUGUCUGCAUUGGUUCCAAGAAAUACCCUGCAGCUGCCUUGGAUUAGCAGGCUCUGGAGAGAGUCAAUGUAUAUUUGGCCUUUCUCAGCAUGAAGCUCAAUGCAGGAAGGGAAGUCAAAGACAAACAUAUGCAUGCCUGAUGACUUGGAACUUUUGAACCUAAAAAGAAGGCAACAGAAAGGUCUUGAAGUACCAGUUUAAAAUAAAGUCAAAAUCAGCUGUUUUACAAGAGCCAAAUUGACCCCAGGGAGUUCAGUGGAGUCACAGCAGUGAUUAUUUGACUGCCAAGACUACAGGCUAAAUUAAUCUUGUCUCUAAAGAAGCAAAUCCACAGCCUUUCAGCAGAAUCAUAGAACAGGAGGUUGGAAGGGACCACCAGAGGUCAUCUAGUUCAACCCGCUGCCAGAGGCAGGAUCAUCCUUAUCCAAGCCAUCAUAUACAAAGGUUGAGCACCACUUGUCUAACCUAUUAGCAAAACUACACCGUAAACCCUGGCACAACCACUGUAACCCGAUGCAGGUAAAGCAGGGGUACCACGGUGGCUCAUGUUCUGCUGUUGCAAGGAAGAGGGCCCCUGCUAAAGAAAAAGGAGAGAGGAAUCUACUAGGGGAAGAAAAAGUGCACUCCACUAUGCCCUGGGUAGGAAAGAUAUCUCAUUGAAUACCACUGUCUUCUUCCAAAGACCCUUCCACAGAUGCAUCUCCCAAAUUCAGGCCUGAUCAUGCUGGGCACCACCAAUAAGAGUCAGAUGAAGUACUCCUGACUGGGCACCUGUCUGAGCCUCCUCUUUGGCUGUUUACACGGUAAAGUUUAUAUUGUCCAGUACAAACCAGAGUUCUGUUUUACAGCAAACUGGUGCCUGUGCUGUGUUGGCAUAUGUGACUCCUGUGUUCAGAAAGUGAUUUGUCACUUUUCAUAUGAAAACAAACUGAUACUUUUAUGGUGACCAAUACUUAGAAUACAAUUCCUGCCAUUAUGAAUGUGUUCUUCCCCAGAUAUGCCAGACGUAAGCUUUUUGCUUACCUUUCCUUUGUCUACUGAAAAUGAAGUCUGAGUUAUUAUUCACCCAGUUCCAGUGAGUCAUUCUACACCCUUGAAUUAUUUCUGACAUAUGUGAAAUACCUUCCACUGAAUUCCUACUCUGGAGAGCCCUUUGCCUGACCGGUUUAUCAGUGAAUGCUACCAGACUCAUCGUUUACUAUGCAUCACCAUCAUGGCAUGUGCAAUACUAAACAUGAUGACAAGACCAACUAGACCCACCCAUUUUAUUUCUGUAGCCCAUAUCUUCAAGAGCCUUGUGCAGCCGCACCAAUCUCAUGCACAAGAGAAAGAAGUUUGUCCUGGGAAGAGGGGCAGGCAGCAGGACUGGUUCUCAGCACUACAUGUAGAAGGAGGAAAUUGGGUCUGUACAAGAUGCGGUUGGGUUGUUCAUGCAGAGAGAAACAGUGAGGCCUAAAUACAAUGUAUAAGGAAUACAUUUCUGCUGAAUUCUGGCUUUAUUUUCACAGCUAAAUAAAAACUGUACUUUUCCUAUGGUGUAAUUAAUGUGCAGUAGCUGUCCUACUGUACAAGCCUAGUGGAGAAAAAGGCCCUUCCAUAUUAUUGUAACAUAAAGCAGGGAAGGGCAGCCCAUAUUCCUCCCCUGCCAAAGGUGGGCAUUAGCUAGUUUGCCUCACUGUAAAAUGAAAUUGCCUUGUCAUGAGUAAAGCUCCAAGUCCUGGAAAAGCCAAGCUCAGUGUACUUCCCUGGGUUUGAAUACUCUGCAGCAUUUGUGGUGGUAGCAAUUACUUAACUGGCAGGGGAGAUACCAUGAUCAAGAAGGUAGGGAGAUAGAUACCAUGAUCACCAAGUUGGUUCUCCCAGGGAGAGAGAAUUAUAUUCCAGGCAGGCUGACCCCUGUGAGUUUUUCUGAGUGCAGGAAACUCGACUGCACAAUUCUUUGGCAACGUGGCUUGCUUCUCAGCCUUUUGACUAGACGCAAACAUGCAUGACUAGGGAGAAUCUGAAUCCCAAGGUCGCUGGACUUGCACAUGGGAUACCUGCCAUGGAUCUGGGGAAUAUCCGAAGGCCAAGACAUACAUCUGGAGGAAGGAUACUUGACCAUUAGUACAGCCACACACACAGACUUGAAUGAUGAAGUUCUGCUCAGUUGCAAUUUGGAACUUGGCUUUGCCUAAUAGAAUUCGGAGCUGAUUUGGCCCUUGAAAUAAGUUUAAAAAAAUUGUUGUGAUAGAUGGUUUAGUAGGUGCCCAGGGCUCAAAAAGAUUACACUGUUUAACAGGUUUCAUUAUGCAUUACUUGGCCCAUAGCAAGAAAAUAUACAUGCUAAUUCAAUUAUUAGCUAUCAAUUAGUUCUAAUAUUAAAGCUCUGUCUUGUACAUGCUGUUUUCUUAUUAAAGGACAGCUGAAUUGAAUACCCAUAACUUCAGCAGCAGUAUAAAACUUGCUUUCAUUAGGAAAUGAGGCUGAUGUGCAUCAGCUGGAGAUUGGAUUCUAAUGCUGCCCACAAGACAUAGUAAGAUCUAGUCCAAUGUGUGAUUGAAGGAAGUGGCUCUACUAUUCAAAAGCAGGAGCUUAGGAUCUGUUCUAGGGAAGGUGGUGCCAUUUAAACAAAAUCUUGGUUAGUUUAAAAGUGGAUUGAACUUUGGUUAAUGUUAAUUAUCAUUUUUUUUUGAUCCUCAAGAACUUCCAGAUGUGAAUCUUUGACUUGCAAUGAUAAACCUGAUUUCUUCAUUCUUUUCAGCACAACCUGUUUGAUUAUUAGUUAUUGCUUGGUGUUAACUUGAUUUGUUUUAAGGCCGUGUUCUUUAUGCUUAAAUGUAGUGAAUAGACUAUGUUUUAUAUUGCACUUAUCUCUUAUUUUCUUGACGACUUGUAAUUUAGACAUGUCUUGUGUGUGCAUAGGGCAAUGGAUUUCUACUUGUAUGCAGGUGACUAAAUAUGUACAUUUUUCAUAUGUAUUAUCUUGAGGGGAUCUACAUGGGACAGCAGUAGGAGCUGAUCUGUCAUUUCUCUGUUCUCUGUAAAUCCACUGGAUUGAGACAGCUGGAUAGAAACAAUCAAGGUGUCAGUUUUGGUCACAUUUUUUUGUCAUGUUCCUUAGCUAACUCUGUUUUAUGCAUUCAAAAAUAACUUCAGUGUGAACAGGACUAGACUUCCCUCAAGCUCAUUUAAGAAAGAGGAGCUGUACACAUACCAGUAUUUCCUGGGGUAAUAACCCUUCACAUUCUUUGUGGAGUCAGAGUAAUUACAGUAGAAGUCUAGAAACUUCUUGGUUUGCUCUUACUCCUUGGGUAGCUGCCUAGGGCAGUGUGAGCCAGCUAACAGCUGUGCAGGCACUCCCCUAGGAGUAGUCAGGUAUACGAAUCCCCACCCUAGUAAAGGUUACAGAGGAUAAAGCCACACAUUCUGAAGGAAUAAAGAGCCUCUUUGCUUGCUUGUUCCCAAAGGAGCUUUGCUAUAAGAAGCAAGCCAAACUUGGACCUGAUUCCACAAACUUCUCCUUCCCCAAGUACCCUUACAGGAGUCAGUAACAUUCCUCCUGUGAAUAUGGGAUGUGGGAUAAUGACCCUUGCUAUUCAUUCUUAAAGGAGCAAUACUAUUUUUGCAUGUAAUGCUAAAAUAUGAAUGUAUUAUAUAUAGUAUAUUGGCAUCUCCCUUAGAAAUGCAUGUUACAAAAAGUGAACUAUCAGACGCAUAUAGUAUACCUAGAAAAUGCUCACAUUUUCCUUAUUUGAAAUGCUUAGAAUGUCCUCAAUCUGUAUUAUCUUUAGUGAUUUCCCUGGUAGCUUGGAAGCUAACUUUACUUGUGCCAAUAGUGAAUGUCAGCCCAUAGGCACUUAAAGUGUCAAAUAUACAACUAAAACAUAUUUUUUUUAUCACAUUACAGCUGCUGACUAUUGCAGAUUUGGACCAUGAAGCCCAUUAAAGCUUCUGAGAUCAAAUGAAAAACUAAAUUAUUUACAACACAGCACAAACAUAUCCUGUAAAUACAUUAAGGCAUUUUGUUUGUGGUAUGCACUAAGGCCAAUCUAAUAAAUUGUACUUAUUAUAUUCUCUAUAUAUUUUGCAAGUGCUUUAAAGAUACCUUCAAAAUAAAAUGGCUUAGUAUGAGAUAUUGACUUAGGAUGAUAAAAUAUAUUUAUUCAUAAUGUACCAACAUUUUCCCAAGCUGCUUUUUGUAUUAUUCUCUUUGAGGAUGUUUCUGAGAUGUAGAAAUACUCAUGUUUUAAUAGGUCAGACCCCUAUACUACUGAAAUCAGUGGGUACAAGAUGGGUGGACUGGCUCCUAGAUUGAUCCUUAAAGCAAAAUAUUAGCUUUGUUGUUGUACUAGAAAGAACUCCUCUAUUCUUCACAAUGCAGCUGUAUCCUGAAAAUGGUAUAAAAUAAUUAUGUUCAGUAUAGCUGGAGUAACACUAACAAAUGGCUACCAUUUAAACGUGAUGGUGCAUGUACCAUACUUAUGGUCAUUUUUUUGCUUGCAGAGUUUGCAUCCAAACCCACCAGAGAAAGGAAAUGUAUUAUUUAAAGAAAAAUCAGGUUAAGAUAUUGUUGCAAUGACCCUGAUGAGUGUUUUUUUUUCCUUCAGUUGAAACUAAGCUUCAAUAAGGCAUAAUGGGACAGAUUUUCCAGCCCACUCAAGCACAGCUGUUGCACAGUAGAGACUGGGGGCUGUCAGGGGUCUGUUCAGCUCCCUGGUUCUGAAAUACCCGACCCUGGCAUAAGUUAAAGGUUCAGAAAAGCAAGUCUAACUCUCAUUCGCAUUAUAUCAAUGGUGGAAGAUGUGGAAAGAAACACUACUCUAUCCUACUGCUCCCCAGUCCCUACUCUGUCUCUGGUACACUGCAACUUACCUCCAGUAUUUCUGUAUUCCUACACUGGGCAAGAGUGUGCAGCUGAUGAUACAGACAUCCUUGCCAGACUUUCUGCUGACAGAAGGUUCCCUACUCAGGAAGAUUUAGCACCAGGUAUCUCAAGACAGAUCAGGUCUACUUUGUGCUGCAUUAGGUUCCAGUCCAUGUAGUAGCAAUGAGUCAGGCUAUAGUGUGGUAGAUUAGUACCAAGACCUCAGACCCCUUGUCUAUUGUACUACUUAAUGAGUGUGAGCACCUGCUCUUUCCUCAUAUUGGACAUGCAUGAAUGAGAUCUUCUACAAGUGGAUUCUCCAUUAUCCAUGCUGAAGGAGGGAAUGCUGCUUUGUGAACCCCCCCACCACUUGUGCCCCUGAUUCCCCUACAAUAUCACAGAAGCCUUUUGGAGCCAGAUUUUGUGGGGUGGAGCUGAGGUAGGAAAAGGCAAAGCAGACCUCCUGGAUUCCUGCAUGGAAAUAACAUCAAGAAUGAAUGUUGCUUAGAGCAGACUAAAUCACUCUGGGAGUGGGCCCCUCUGUGAUUGGUACACAGCUGUCAAUUUACCAAUUUCUACAUGGUUCAUUUGGAAUUAUGGUGCAUCAGGAGAGGGGGAACUCAGCCAUAAGGACAACAGCUAUGCAUGCAGGAUAAGAUCUGUCUCAGAGAGUCAAGUGACUUUCCUGCAUUAGCUGGAUCCAUGAGGCCGGAAGCCAUCAUUCCCUGUAGAUUCUGGGGCCCUCAAUACCCUUCCCUUGGUAUACCCUAAGAUCAUCUCUCUCUUGUUCUUAAUGCAGCACUACCAUUUUUCAGUACCAUGUCUCCUCUUUUAUUUUAUUGACAUGGAGAAUCUUGAAAGGGUACAGAGAAGGGUCACAAGAAUGAUUAAGGACCUGGAGGACGAACCUUAUGAGGAAAGACUAAGGGAUCUGGGACUGCUCAGCCUGGGGAAGAGAAGACUGAGGGGGAACUUGGUGGUGGUCUAUAUGUAUGUAAGGGGUGAAUAUCAGGAGCUGGGAGAAAAAACUGUUCACUAGGGCACCCUCAGGGAGGAUGAGGAGCAAUGGCCAUAAACUGUUAGAGGAUGGUUUCAGGUUGGAUGCAAGGAAGAACUUCUUUACGUCAAGGGUGACCAGAAUCUGGAAUAGACUUCCCAAGCAGGGGGUGCAGCCCCAACCUUGGAAGUCUUCAAGAGGAGACUGGACAAACACGUUGUUGGGAUCAUUUGAUCUCAGCAGUUUUCCUACCCAGAGCAGGGGGGUUGGAGUCGAUGAUCUUUCGAGGUCCUUCCAGCCCUUAAUUUCUAUGUUUCUUAUGAUUCUAUGAUACCAUUUACUGCCAAUUCCUGUAGAGGAGUUGCAACUAGCCAAAUAAUGUGCAGAUUUACUUUUGUGCAAGAGGACAGAAAUGUAGUUUAAAUACAUUACUGUUUCAUCAUUUGGUAAUUAUUUAGCUCACUUUGGUGCAUUACACUAAGCUCAGUGAAUGAAAAGCAUGAUACACUGUAAGUGCUAAAUAGAAUGUAUUAUUGCAAAGUAAUUUAACUAAUAUAAUAUCUGCCAAUUUAUGCGUAUUUAUGAGGUCAAAGAGUUCAUAUUCCUUCAGGUCAGAAGACAGAAUGAGUGUGAUCUCAUCCUGAUGCCAGUUUCUCCACAUUACAAAACCACCAUGUAAAGUGGCACAAUUGCUUGUCUCUAAGCAAGGACCAAGACCAAGCACUUCCUUUGCAACAGAAGAGCUGGAGGGAGCAAAAAUUUUAUUAUGCUCCUCAAAGUUCACUAAAAUCAAGUUUUGCAUCUGCAGGUCUCAUGAGUUUGGAAGAUUGGAUGCACUUCAUCCCUAUUUCACUGAUGGGAUAACUGAGACACAAAAAGGGUGCAUGCACAGUGGGAGCAAGGAGUGGCUGAGACUAUUUAGACUUUUUUUUCUGGUUCAGACCACAGGAACACAGGAAAUUAAAGAAUCUGCUUGAUUGCAGUGGUACAAACCAUGAGUCUCAUCCAAGACAUGUACUAACAAGAAGGCUAUCAUUAUUUGCAACAACUGAGAAGAUAAUUAGAAACCUACCAAUGCUACCGUCAUAUUUCCUGUCACAAGAAGAGGAUGACACACCAAAAAUGGAUUUGGAAAUCUUUGCUGACAGCAAAAGUGGGAAGAGUAUAGCAUGAACCUCCUCUGAUAUAAUCAUAUUACAAUAUUCAGCAAUCAUGAUUCUAACAUAGCUGUAACAAUUGCAUUCCUGAAAGCACAAAGCCUGCAUCUUGUUUCAAUGAAAGCUUUGCCUGAGUAAGGACAGUAGCCCACAGUGUUUUCAGCCUUUGAAGACUACAAUAGCUUAUUUUAGGCCAUUAAUUCAGAUUCUUCACAGCCAUCAGCAAAGCCAAUGACUGUAAUAUAAAAUUUGGACAAAGUUGAAUAUCUUUAUCUAGGGAGCUACUUUUUUGUUUUUGCUGGCUUUUUUAAAGCUGCAGAAAGCUACUUCUGGGAACUGAAUAUGAGCUUUUGUUCUACUUACGGUAUUUUCAUUAUAUUCGUUUCUUGCAUGUUAAAUGAAAACAGUAAGCAGAUUUUUAGUGGAUGUAAAUCAGUUUUCUUUAAUGGAACUAUGCCAAUUUACAAUAGCCAGCAGAUCUGGCUCUAGAUCUCAUGUCACUUUGCUUGGAUGCAUUAAAAAAAUUUAGUAGAAAAAUGUGAACAUAUAGGCUAAGUGCAGACAGUCAGAAAGCCUAAAGCUGAAUCGAUUCAAUCUUUGCAGGUUAGUUUAAACUGGGGGUGGGGUGCUAGAGCACAUCUCCCUGCUUAGCUGGAGCAAACAGUGUGGGCCAAGGCUACCCCGCCUACCCUGUGUGGGGGUGGGGAGUUUGCGGGGGAGGUGCAAAGCAUCCUGGGAUGCUGGGGGACUAUGAGUUAGCUUGAAUCUGGAGCGGACCUGGGACAGAAGUUCAAUAAACUGAUUUAACGUAAAUCAAUUAAGUCUGGUACUACAUCUAUCCAGGUUUAUGUUAAAUUGGUUUCAGCCAUUUUAAAAGCAGUUUAUGUGCAUUGAACUUCUGUUGUAUUACAAAUUUGAACUGGUUUCUGAUCACUGACACCAGUUUAUGUGUAACUUCUUUCCCUAACUGAAGAAAAAAGCCAUUGAUAUGCAAAUGAAUUGCCCCAAUAUAUACCAAGCUCUUGUCCCUGGAAAAACAGUGGUAGCUUUUUUAAUGGCUGUACUGUACAUUGGUGCUAAUAAUUCAAAAACAAAACUGAGAGCAAUUAUAAAAUGUUUGAGGGAAAAGUUUAUAUAGUCCAUCUUCUCUGGUAUAACAUCAGUGAAAAAUAAUAUCUAAAAAAAAUCCAAGCUAUCUUUAAACCCACUGGCUUCAAGGGUGUUACUGAAGCUCUUUCCUUCAAUAAUAAAAUGGAAGUGAACAAGGACAGGUUCUUUCAAGAUUACUCAUUGACCAGAGCUGUCAUGCCUGAGCUUGUAAAACAGGAUCUCUGUCCUCUAUGGAAAAAUGACACACGAUUUCUAGAACUAUCAUCUCUUCCUUAUAUCUGCCCAUAUGCGAUAAAAAACUCUGCUCUUCAUAAUUAUUAUUACUAUUUAAUAUUAUUGUAAUACCAAAGUGUCUAGGAGUUCCCCACUUUUAUGGGUGCUAUAUAAAUAUCAAACAAAGACUGUUGUUCCCCACAGAGCUUCAGUAACCAUGUGAUGUUCCUACUGAUGCUAAUAGGACUAAGUGCAGGAAUAAGCAAAGCAGAAUGUGGCCUGUAAUUAGGAUCCCACUGUCAAAUGCUUUGUCACAGGGGUUUUUUUCUUUUAUAAUUCAGUGGAGUAAACCAUUGUAGAGUGGAACUACUCCAAAUUGGGACUAGCAUCAAUAUUAACUAUACUGUGGUGGUGUGUCAUUUUAAUAGUUCAAGAACAAGACAAAUGUGAAAGGCAUUAAGGUUCAUAAUUUAAAAAGCAAAAACAGCAUUACAGGGUUCUCAUCUUCAUGUAAGUGUAUUUGAAUUAUGGAAGGAAUUAAUUUACAUAGAGCUACACCUUCUACAAGGUAAGAGAUUAUAUAUACCUGUUGCUUUACGUUUCUCAGUAUAUAACCCAAAUCACUAGAUUCCUGUAUUUCUUGUUGAUUUUCACUGCCCUCAGCUUGGCUUUGCAGAAGUAAAGCCCAGAUCCAUAUGCUGCAGUCAUAUGGCUGUAGCCCCAUUCACUUCCUUGGAGGUGAAUUACUGUGAGAGUAGGGUUUGGCCUGCAGGUUUUAAAUGAUGAUCUACACAAGAAAUUCUGGGACUAAGGCCAGAUUCUCAGCUGCAAUUCACUGGUGUUGCUCCGCUGAAGUCAAUGGAGCAACAGUGAUCACUAGCUGAGAAUUAGGUUCCUGGAGUCUAGCUUAUUUCCCUCUUCUGCACAGGGAGAGAGACAGGGAUAGGGAGAAACAACAUGCAUGAAGUGGGAAGGUAGAAUAGAAGGAAAGAUGGAAAGUAAAGCAUCUCCCUACUGUCUUUACUUUCCCACACCUACCUUUGGUGGCAUCCUUUGCUCUGCUUUACCUUUGCUGUGAUUGUCUCCUCUUCUCUUCCUCAUCCUGAGGAAUACAGUAUUAUGAUAAGCUAACAAAAGCUUUUAUCGAGUCCUUUAAGUGCCAUUAGCCAGCUUUCACCCAUAUCCUGUAUUAUAGGGAUGCACUUGGAAAAUUACAUAUGGCUUUCAGUAGGCCAACUUGGCAUUAAAUUUGGCCAACAUGCAUUAUAUCACCACUAUGCAUUUUAUAUGCUGCAUAACCUUAUAUAACAUACAUGGCACAGCUCAUGUCUAGUGGCUAGAACUGGAGUGGGGAGACAGGAACUCUUAGCCUAGGGACAGAAAUUACACAGAAACCAGUAUAAGUGAUCAGAAGCUGGUUCAAAUCUGUAACACAACAGAAGUUGAGUGCACAUAAACCACUUUCAAAAUGGCCACACCCGGUUUAAGAUAAACCUGGAUGGAUGUAGUAUCAGACUUAACUGAUUUAGGUUAAAUCGAUUUAUUGAACUUCUGUCCCAGAUCCCCUCCAGAUUCAAGUUAACUCACAGCCCCCUGGCAUCCCAAGAUCCUUUGCACCUCCCUCACAGACUCCCUCCUUGUAGGGUGGGUGCACUAGCCUUGGCCCAAGCUGUUUGCUCCAGCUGAGCAAGGAGGCUUGCUCUAGUGCCCCUUAGCUUCUGGCCUGGGCCACUGCAGAAAUGCAGCUACAUUUCUGGAAUCAAAAGUGAAUAUCUGUUCACUUACUUAAUGGUUCAAUCUAUGCAGCUUAGACUAACCUGAGAAGAUUGAAUUGAUUCAGCCUCAGACUUUUUGAUUAUGUGUACUUAGCCUUAUAGUUUAAUCUUAAAUCAGCCAUUGACUUGCUCUGUAACUUGAAGCAAAUCAUCUGAAAUAUGUGCCUUCGGUAUUCCUGUUUGUAAAAUUAAGAUAUUUACUCACCAGCUUUGUAGCCUGGUUCCUGUAAUUUUCACAGAAUCCUUCUAUUAUUUGGGUCUUUUUCUAAUUUUAUAAUUUAAUCACUGUGGUUUCUGUUAUGAAGUGCCAGCUCAGAGUCCUAACCAUUCAUAAAAGCUCUUGCUGUUACAUUCAUAACAACAACUAAGCUACCAGGUUUGCCCUAAUAUUUUAUGGAGAUACUUCCAAAAUAUGGAUAGUUGUGCUUACUCAGGGUAUGUCUAUACUGCAGCUGCUGCAGUCAUGGUAGCUCACAAAGACAUACCUCAGGUAGCUUAUGCCCUGCUAGCAGUGUAAUCCUUAGAAGGGAUAUUUGUGGGUGUUUAGGCCUGUCCUUAGUUACUUGUUUCAUCCUUUUUACAGGGAUGUGUGAAUUUACAAUACUGUACAAAUAGCAAAGCACAUUAUUCACUCAGCUAGUUAUCUCUGCCCUUAAUUAAAGGCAUGUUAAAAGAAAAAAAUUCAGUUCCAAAUGAAUUAUAUGUUCUAAAUAAUGAGGAGGCUAAAGCAUCUUUGAUGUAGACAAUGGAAUGGGAUAGUCAAAUACCUGGGAUUCUCCCUACUAUAUAAAGAAACUUCUCUCUCUGAGACAUAGUGCUGUUUUUCUACAGUCUUCAUAAUUCAAAUAGUAAAUUCUAAUGCUGGAAGACCAGGAUCUUCAGGAAAUACUUUUUCCCCUCUCCUUCAGCCAAUCUUCUCUUGGUAUGGUUAUGUCAUCGAAAAAUUAUACACUAUGACUUAAUGUUGAAAAGAAGCCAAAAAUUCCUGAACCGGAGAUAUCACAAUGAAACAGCUUACGAGCUAACUUAGUCAUAAUGUACAUUACAGAUCAGUUGCUUUAACAGUGUAUCAUGGUGUAUGAGUAAGUUAGUAAGUGCCAAUCCAAACAAAUGCUAUUGUCUGAGCAGGGAAGUCCACAUAACUCAUAUUAAAUAAUCAAUUCCAAUCUAUCCACAGCCUUAGUAAUGCAGAAGAUAUAUGUUUUCAAUCUGCAAACAUUAUAUGAAAAAUGAAAAAGAAAGCAAAAAUAAGCCAAAUCUGUUUUGACCUACAAUAGGGUUGUGCAAGAGAUCCAUCAGAAAACACUUUUAAUCCAGUUUCUGCAGCAGCUAUUCUGAAACUUUUUCCUUUUCAGUGGUAUAAACUGUGCAUGCGAUUUAAACUUUUUAUUGUGUUUAGAAAGAGGAAGGGAGGGGAGGAGGGAAAUAGAGGUGAAUAAACAGCUGUGAGAUUCAGUAAUCCAGAGAAAUAAGCCACAGAACCAGACAACUUCUUCUGACCCUUGUAUAGAAAAUGAGAACACGGGUUUUUAAAUCCAUAAUUUUAUCAGGAACAUAAUAGUAAUCCACUGUAUAUUUGCAGAACCUCUAACAGUAGUGUAUCCUAUCUUUAAGAGUAUGGUGUUUGGUCAUUGAAGUCUGCAGUACCUUGAAUUAGAACAAGAUUUCUAACAUUUUCCUGAUAUUUAGUACUCAAAAAUGCAGUAGUGUGAGGUGGAUUAAAAUUUCAACACACAACCUACUUUUUCUAAUAUUUGGAAGACUGUUACAAUGACCAGUCAAAACCAUUUGGAUUCCCAGCCUAAGUCAGUGUUUGAAUUAUAUUUAAUCUUUGUAUCUUCUUCUAAUGAAAAAACACAAUAGAUCAAUGCCAUAUAUGGAGUACUCAAUAACCAUCCAUUGUCUUAGUUGCAGUGUCAACAACUGUUAUUCCAUGUCAUAUCUCAACACUUUUGUAGCAUAUUCAUCUAAAUUUCAGUGAACUAAAAUUUUGUUAAUAAUUCCAUAAAUUCUAAUCAAGAAUUGUCAGCCAGUCAGAUUUAAGCAAGUUACCAACAAUGCCUGUACUCGAUCAGCAUUUCAACAAAAGAAGAGGAACUAUACAUUACAAACACAAAACACAAAAUUCAAAUAUCUCAGUGGCUCCAGUUUUCAAUACAGCUUUCAGCUGAAGUGUUGCUGAGUCCUUUAAUUUCACUCAGGACUUCAGUAUAAUUUUCAACUACCUGACACUGGAAUUUUUAAUGAAGGUAUUAGGGUCAACAUUUAAUUCUAUAAGGCCUUUAAGAUUAUUUGAUACAUUAUCCACUCAUGAGGAAAUGGAGUUGCUUCUGAUUACAUGACAUUGAUUAUAUAAAAACUGCAUCUUAUUUUUCUGAGUAUCUGUUCCUUGUGUGUAUAUCCAGAAUUGUAUCUGCUUUUUCUAAGCUAUUUUUAAUUACCUGUUAUGUUUUUUGUCACUGUAUUCAACGCAGCUUGGAGAAAGGAAGUAAGAUUAUUUUUUAUUUGUAACUCACAAAAAGAAUUAUUAGGAAUACUUUUCUAUAUAAAACCUUUAGUUUUGGUUGUUAGAUCUUGACAAACAGUGGGGAAAGCUAUUCUGUUCCAUUAAAAUUUGAGAGUUCAGAACCAAAUUUUCAUUGGUCCUAUUCUCAAAUUGUAUUUGCAAACAUUAAUGCAAGUUAAAUUGUGUUUAUGUAAAUGGAAAAUGCAUUUAUCAUCUAUACCUGAUAUUAAAUUCAUAAUGAGACAAAACUGUCAGUAAAAGGAAAACGAAUAAUUUCUUGCUCUUCCAUCUUAAAGUGUCCAAAAGUUCCUGCUGUUUCUUGAUUGUAGAGCAAUGUGGUCUACCACUAGCAGAAGGGACAGGUUCUGAAGCUGAAUCUUUGUCAUGUUGAUGGUUCCCAUGAUAGGACUUUUCUCAUGUUUGGGAACUAAAUGUGCCUUUGAGAAGCUCUUUUCCUUCUUUUGUUCAUUGCGUGUCCUAGUGAACAAUAAAAUCAGUUUUAAAUGGAAUAAUCUUUCAUUGAGCAGAUGAGGGCCAGACUUGGUAACAUUCUCGUCAGAUACCUUUUGAUAGUGUUACAGGAUUUCCCUUUACAACUUUCCUAAGUGCAGCUCUCAAACUACCACAUGUGAACACCUAUAGUAACAGAAACCUUGAAAACAGCCAAUUAAAAAAAUGCCUUCAUAUAUUUUAUAUAAAAUGUAUUUGCUAGUGGAAUACUGCUUGACAAUACUCAACUAAAGAGACUCUAUUAUUAAAAUAGCAUUAUUUUUCUAGCAAUGAUAAGUCAGGCAAAGUUUGCCUGAAGGUGUGGGUUCUCAAACUUUGUGAUACUAUGAUCUGGAGUGCUGGAUGGCAGCCGGGGGAGCGGGAAGGGAGAGGAAUGGGGAGCUUGCAUGUGGCAGCCACUGCUACCAUUCACCACCCUGCACCCCCGUGCAUACCCCCUGGGAAUUUUGUGGCCCCCUUUUAAGUUGCUCGUGACCCCCCAGGUGGGGGGUCACGAUCCACAGUUUAAGAACCCAUUCCUUAAAGGGUUCUGAUACGAAGGAGUUUAAAAAGUCCUGAAUUCCCAGCUCCCUAGCUUGUUCUAAUUCUGCAAAUUGCUUCCCCUGUCUUCUUCAGACACACAGCUCUAGUAAUAUAAUUGGACCUUUAUUCUUCUACUUUUAUACCCAACUAAUGAUGGGGUAGAAGGAAUUCUAUGCGUCUAAACAAGGCAAUCACAUGGCAGUACUGGCAAAUAAAUGCAGAGAUCACCUUAAGUAAUAUAUAGGUGGCAAUUUGUUCUCAUGAAAUAUUAAUCCAAUAAUUUUAAAUAAAUUAGAAAUUAAUAGAAAUCAAGGUCUGUUUAUAAAGAGCUGACAUUGGAAAAGGGUGAAAGUAAUUAAUGUAGCUGAACAUAAUGUUCUUUAUGAAUUGUUUCACCACAUCUGCACGUGCCCUUUUUUUUUUGUACACUGAGAAAAUUUUACGCUGAGGGACAAUAAGCUAAAAAGCUUGUUGGAAAUUUGCUAGUGUCCUCAAGCACGUUCCUCACAAGAUGAAGAGGGCUAGGAACAGUAGCAAUGGCAGUGCCAGGGCUGACUCUAAUCAAAGAAAAGAACGAUAUUUCUCCAAACAGAAGUAAAACAAUCUGUGCUUCUAUGUGUAUGAGGCCCUGCCUACUGGUCCCAAAAUUGCAUCCUUUGUGUUGGCACCAUCCCAGUUACACCAAACUUAUGUUUCUGCAGCUGUUCUUUGUUUUCUGCCAUUUUUACUGAUGUAAUGAUGCCAUUUGGUCCAACAUUAUUAGUCUAUGACAUUCUCAUCUCUAGUCCUGUGACUGGGAGUGCAUUGCACAGGUCAGAUUCACUAAUGAUGGCAUUACAGUCAGAUCCUCCUUUGGGACAAAGCUGAGGGUCUAAUUCUGUUGUUUCUGUAUCUGCUAUUGUACAUUGAUAUUGUAUAUAUCCUUUCACAUCAAAACUCUGCCCAUUUUCUUGGUAGAGCUCUCGCUGAUAUUUGCUGCAAAGUGAUACUACUAUUCUGUGUCCUAUCUAUUAGCCUAGUAAAGAGUUAAUCAAAUGCAUCCCAACACCAGGGAGAAGAAGACUGUGGUCCUGCUGUUAUGCAAAAAAAAAAAUCUCUCUUUGUAGAAAAGGGAGUGGCUGUGCCCUGACCUUU